This 347-nucleotide ribosomal RNA is filed under the name Oncotylus affinis. RNAcentral's name for it is "partial large subunit ribosomal RNA". Lineage: Eukaryota; Metazoa; Arthropoda; Insecta; Hemiptera; Miridae. The record is from RNAcentral.
AAAUUUACUUUCUUUAUUUUAAAUAAAUAAAUUGAUUUUUAGAUCAAAAAGUCUAAAUUUUAUUAAAGGACGAGAAGACCCUAUAGAACUUUAUUUCAUUAAAAAUAUUUAUUUACUUGUAAAUAAUUUUUAUUUAUUUUUAAUGAAAUUUUGUUGGGGUGACAAAAAAAAUUUUAUAACUUUUUUUAUUUAUUUCAUUUAUAUAUGAAUACUUGAUCCUUUAUUAAGGAUAAAAGAUUAAGUUACCUUAGGGAUAACAGCGUUAUUAUUUUAGAAAGUUCAUAUUGAUAAAAUAGUUUGCGACCUCGAUGUUGGAUUAAAAUUAGUUUCAGGAGUAGAAGAUUGAU